GUCGAACGCUGGCGGCGUGCUUAACACAUGCAAGUCGAACGGAAAGGCCCAGCUUUUUUGUGGUGCCCGCGUGGCGCACGUGUGUGUAACACGUGAGUCACCUGCCCUUGGCUUUGGGAUAACUUCAGGAGACUGGGGCUAAUACCGGCUAGGAGAUCCUGCUGCAUGGUGGGGGUUGGAACUCUUCGUCGGUUGGGGAUAGACUCGCGGCUUAUUAGCUUGUUGGUUGGGGAGUUGCUUACCCAGGGUUUGAUGGGUAGCCGGCCUGGGAGGGUGACCAGCCACAUUGCGACUGAGAGAGGGCCCAGAGGGGUACGGGGGGCAGCAGUGGGGAAUAUGGCACAGUGGUGGGGAGUGUGUGGCAGCAACGCCGCGAGUGGGAUGAACGCUUUGGGGGGGUAAACCGCUGUAGCUUGAUACGAUGCUGGAGUGACGGUAACAGGUAAAGAAGCACCGGCUAACUACGUG
RNAcentral lists this ribosomal RNA (468 nucleotides) under uncultured bacterium. RNAcentral describes it as "partial 16S ribosomal RNA". It matches the Rfam family "Bacterial small subunit ribosomal RNA", at positions 28 to 507 of the family's 1533-position model. The record is from RNAcentral.